GAUUACACGCAUUUUAAAUCAUAUUGCAAUGUGGACAAUUAAGUUUGUUUAGUCAAGGUUCUGGUUGUAUUGUUGGUGUGUGUUUCCUUGAAUCUACAUUAAACAAUGUCUGGGGUACACAAAAAAGCUGGAGAAACUCAGCGGGUGCAGCAGCA
Amblyraja radiata (thorny skate) is the source of this 155-nucleotide long non-coding RNA. RefSeq lists it as uncharacterized. Lineage: Eukaryota; Metazoa; Chordata; Chondrichthyes; Rajiformes; Rajidae. The transcript is spliced from 3 exons. The record is from RefSeq and is a predicted model, not a curated record.